RNAcentral lists this ribosomal RNA (1959 nucleotides) under Escherichia coli. Its description in RNAcentral is "partial 23S ribosomal RNA". It matches the Rfam family "Bacterial large subunit ribosomal RNA", at positions 419 to 2362 of the family's 2925-position model. The record is from RNAcentral. Lineage: Bacteria; Pseudomonadati; Pseudomonadota; Gammaproteobacteria; Enterobacterales; Enterobacteriaceae.
GGGACACGUGGUAUCCUGUCUGAAUAUGGGGGGACCAUCCUCCAAGGCUAAAUACUCCUGACUGACCGAUAGUGAACCAGUACCGUGAGGGAAAGGCGAAAAGAACCCCGGCGAGGGGAGUGAAAAAGAACCUGAAACCGUGUACGUACAAGCAGUGGGAGCCUCUUAAUGGGGUGACUGCGUACCUUUUGUAUAAUGGGUCAGCGACUUAUAUUCUGUAGCAAGGUUAACCGAAUAGGGGAGCCGAAGGGAAACCGAGUCUUAACUGGGCGUUAAGUUGCAGGGUAUAGACCCGAAACCCGGUGAUCUAGCCAUGGGCAGGUUGAAGGUUGGGUAACACUAACUGGAGGACCGAACCGACUAAUGUUGAAAAAUUAGCGGAUGACUUGUGGCUGGGGGUGAAAGGCCAAUCAAACCGGGAGAUAGCUGGUUCUCCCCGAAAGCUAUUUAGGUAGCGCCUCGUGAAUUCAUCUCCGGGGGUAGAGCACUGUUUCGGCAAGGGGGUCAUCCCGACUUACCAACCCGAUGCAAACUGCGAAUACCGGAGAAUGUUAUCACGGGAGACACACGGCGGGUGCUAACGUCCGUCGUGAAGAGGGAAACAACCCAGACCGCCAGCUAAGGUCCCAAAGUCAUGGUUAAGUGGGAAACGAUGUGGGAAGGCCCAGACAGCCAGGAUGUUGGCUUAGAAGCAGCCAUCAUUUAAAGAAAGCGUAAUAGCUCACUGGUCGAGUCGGCCUGCGCGGAAGAUGUAACGGGGCUAAACCAUGCACCGAAGCUGCGGCAGCGACGCUUAUGCGUUGUUGGGUAGGGGAGCGUUCUGUAAGCCUGUGAAGGUGUGCUGUGAGGCAUGCUGGAGGUAUCAGAAGUGCGAAUGCUGACAUAAGUAACGAUAAAGCGGGUGAAAAGCCCGCUCGCCGGAAGACCAAGGGUUCCUGUCCAACGUUAAUCGGGGCAGGGUGAGUCGACCCCUAAGGCGAGGCCGAAAGGCGUAGUCGAUGGGAAACAGGUUAAUAUUCCUGUACUUGGUGUUACUGCGAAGGGGGGACGGAGAAGGCUAUGUUGGCCGGGCGACGGUUGUCCCGGUUUAAGCGUGUAGGCUGGUUUUCCAGGCAAAUCCGGAAAACCAAGGCUGAGGCGUGAUGACGAGGCACUACGGUGCUGAAGCAACAAAUGCCCUGCUUCCAGGAAAAGCCUCUAAGCAUCAGGUAACAUCAAAUCGUACCCCAAACCGACACAGGUGGUCAGGUAGAGAAUACCAAGGCGCUUGAGAGAACUCGGGUGAAGGAACUAGGCAAAAUGGUGCCGUAACUUCGGGAGAAGGCACGCUGAUAUGUAGGUGAAGCGACUUGCUCGUGGAGCUGAAAUCAGUCGAAGAUACCAGCUGGCUGCAACUGUUUAUUAAAAACACAGCACUGUGCAAACACGAAAGUGGACGUAUACGGUGUGACGCCUGCCCGGUGCCGGAAGGUUAAUUGAUGGGGUUAGCGGCAACGCGAAGCUCUUGAUCGAAGCCCCGGUAAACGGCGGCCGUAACUAUAACGGUCCUAAGGUAGCGAAAUUCCUUGUCGGGUAAGUUCCGACCUGCACGAAUGGCGUAAUGAUGGCCAGGCUGUCUCCACCCGAGACUCAGUGAAAUUGAACUCGCUGUGAAGAUGCAGUGUACCCGCGGCAAGACGGAAAGACCCCGUGAACCUUUACUAUAGCUUGACACUGAACAUUGAGCCUUGAUGUGUAGGAUAGGUGGGAGGCUUUGAAGUGUGGACGCCAGUCUGCAUGGAGCCGACCUUGAAAUACCACCCUUUAAUGUUUGAUGUUCUAACGUUGGCCCGUAAUCCGGGUUGCGGACAGUGUCUGGUGGGUAGUUUGACUGGGGCGGUCUCCUCCUAAAGAGUAACGGAGGAGCACGAAGGUUGGCUAAUCCUGGUCGGACAUCAGGAGGUUAGUGCAAUGGCAUAA